ACAUACGACCAUAGGGUGUGGAGAACAGGGCUUCCCGUCCGCUCAGCCGUAGUUAAGCCACACGCCGGCCGGUUAGUAGUUGGGUGGGUGACCACCAGCGAAUCCCGGCUGUUGUAUGUU
This 120-nucleotide ribosomal RNA is filed under the name Aspergillus udagawae. Lineage: Eukaryota; Fungi; Ascomycota; Eurotiomycetes; Eurotiales; Aspergillaceae. The record is from RNAcentral.